RNAcentral lists this long non-coding RNA (240 nucleotides) under Setaria viridis. RNAcentral describes it as "long non-coding RNA (SVIR_LNC005863)". Lineage: Eukaryota; Viridiplantae; Streptophyta; Magnoliopsida; Poales; Poaceae. The record is from RNAcentral.
AGGGAGUAUAUAAAUAUGUACCCUGACAAGUUAAGAUAGGCAGUCACGUUUAACCUAUUGGUGCAUAUUAUUUCAUUCACAAAUUUAUUUUUCAAUAGAACAUAAACUUGAGGAAAAUAAAACACAGAUUAUUAGAUCAGAGGGUCGAUCAUUUACUAGGGGAAGCGUGGAAGCAGGAACGCAUCACAUGUUUACAACGAUUUGGCGGUAGCAUUACUGCAUCCUCAUCCUAAAGCCGCG